CCCCGCCCACCCCUCUAAAUAAAUAAAUAAUAAAGAAAAAAAGCCUUGACUCAAAACAGAACUGCUUAGCAAUAGAAACUGCCAAGUCUUCAUCUCGCAUACUCAAAAUUCUUAUUCUCUAAGGCGUAUCUUUGUUUGAAAUAUGUGGAUAAAUUAUAGUGCUUGGUGACAUACUUUUUAUACUUUCAGUUUUUUGUAAUUUGAUAUUCUCUCAUGCUUUCUCUUUAUUUCUUAUAUAUAGAAUCUUUAGAAUAAGCUUCAAGGUUUUACUGGGCAGCAUAGGAAUAAGCUCGAGAUUCUGUCGCCACAAAUUAAGAAACCUAGAGAUAUUCUAAGAGAGCUUCGGGGUAAUAGUAUCCUGCCAGAUUCUGCCUCUGAGUAGAUUGAAUUUAUUGCUCUUUCGCAAAGGACAGGAGACCCAAAGUAUAAACAGAAGGCGGAGAAUGUUAUCUUAGAACUUAAUAGAACUUUUCCAGAUGAUGGUUUGCUUCCAAUACAUAUUAUUCCGGAGAGAGGGACAAUGUCAUACUCCACUUUUCCAGAUGAUGAUAAGAAACCUGAUGUUGGAAGAAUCUGUCCUUGAAGAAAAUGCAGAGCAAGUAGCAACUGAAAAUGCUAAAGAACAAGUUGAACCAGAAGAGGAGCCUAGUUUCUCUUUUGUUAGGAGUUGUUUAACAGAUUUUCCAUUUUUAAUGCUACAAUCUAUUCUUUGUUUUGUUAGGAGUUGACAAGUUUAUUGUCCAUUUUGGAUAUGUAUAUUUUUGGUAGUGUUUUGCUUUUGUCCCUUGUAAUUAAUUGUGAAAUUUAUAGGAAUAUUGAUUAUUUCUUAUGUUUCUGGA
Non-coding RNA from Nicotiana tabacum (common tobacco), 839 nucleotides. The record is from RefSeq and is a predicted model, not a curated record. Lineage: Eukaryota; Viridiplantae; Streptophyta; Magnoliopsida; Solanales; Solanaceae.